Molecule: ribosomal RNA, 400 nt
Filed under: uncultured bacterium
Lineage: Bacteria
Description: bacterial SSU rRNA
Rfam family: Bacterial small subunit ribosomal RNA
Source: RNAcentral
GGGGGAUAUUGCGCAAUGGGGGAAACCCUGACGCAGCAACGCCGCGUGAAGGAAGAAGGCCUUCGGGUUGUAAACUUUUGUCUUUGGGGACGAUAAUGACGGUACCCGAGGAGGAAGCCACGGCUAACUACGUGCCAGCAGCCGCGGUAAUACGUAGGUGGCGAGCGUUGUCCGGAUUUACUGGGUGUAAAGGGCGUGUAGGCGGGAUAGCAAGUCAGAUGUGAAAUACCAAGGCUUAACUUUGGGGGUGCAUUUGAAACUGUUAUUCUUGAGUGUCGGAGAGGGAAGCGGAAUUCCUAGUGUAGCGGUGAAAUGCGUAGAUAUUAGGAGGAACACCAGUGGCGAAGGCGGCUUUCUGGACGAUAACUGACGCUGAGGCGCGAAAGCGUGGGGAGCGAAC